This 1912-nucleotide ribosomal RNA is filed under the name Enterobacter hormaechei subsp. xiangfangensis. RNAcentral's name for it is "partial 23S ribosomal RNA". It matches the Rfam family "Bacterial large subunit ribosomal RNA", at positions 1 to 1937 of the family's 2925-position model. Lineage: Bacteria; Pseudomonadati; Pseudomonadota; Gammaproteobacteria; Enterobacterales; Enterobacteriaceae. The record is from RNAcentral.
GGUUAAGCGACUAAGCGUACACGGUGGAUGCCCUGGCAGUCAGAGGCGAUGAAGGACGUGCUAAUCUGCGAAAAGCGACGGCGAGGUGAUAUGAACCUUUGACCCGUCGAUGUCCGAAUGGGGAAACCCAGUGUGUUCCGACACACUAUCGUUAACUGAAUACAUAGGUUAACGAGGCGAACCGGGGGAACUGAAACAUCUAAGUACCCCGAGGAAAAGAAAUCAACCGAGAUUCCCCCAGUAGCGGCGAGCGAACGGGGAGCAGCCCGGAGUCUGAAUCAGCUUGUGUGUUAGUGGAACGGUCUGGAAAGUCCGACGGUACAGGGUGAUAGUCCCGUACACGAAAAUGCACUUGCUGUGAACUCGAAGAGUAGGGCGGGACACGUGGUAUCCUGUCUGAAUAUGGGGGGACCAUCCUCCAAGGCUAAAUACUCCUGACUGACCGAUAGUGAACCAGUACCGUGAGGGAAAGGCGAAAAGAACCCCGGCGAGGGGAGUGAAAAAGAACCUGAAACCGUGUACGUACAAGCAGUGGGAGCCUCUUUAUGGGGUGACUGCGUACCUUUUGUAUAAUGGGUCAGCGACUUAUAUUCUGUAGCAAGGUUAACCGUAUAGGGGAGCCGAAGGGAAACCGAGUCUUAACUGGGCGUUAAGUUGCAGGGUAUAGACCCGAAACCCGGUGAUCUAGCCAUGGGCAGGUUGAAGGUUGGGUAACACUAACUGGAGGACCGAACCGACUAAUGUUGAAAAAUUAGCGGAUGACCUGUGGCUGGGGGUGAAAGGCCAAUCAAACCGGGAGAUAGCUGGUUCUCCCCGAAAGCUAUUUAGGUAGCGCCUCGUGAACUCAUCUUCGGGGGUAGAGCACUGUUUCGGCUAGGGGGCCAUCCCGGCUUACCAACCCGAUGCAAACUACGAAUACCGAAGAAUGUUAUCACGGGAGACACACGGCGGGUGCUAACGUCCGUCGUGAAGAGGGAAACAACCCAGACCGCCAGCUAAGGUCCCAAAGUCAUGGUUAAGUGGGAAACGAUGUGGGAAGGCACAGACAGCCAGGAUGUUGGCUUAGAAGCAGCCAUCAUUUAAAGAAAGCGUAAUAGCUCACUGGUCGAGUCGGCCUGCGCGGAAGAUGUAACGGGGCUAAACCAUGCACCGAAGCUGCGGCAGCGACACUAUGUGUUGUUGGGUAGGGGAGCGUUCUGUAAGCCGUUGAAGGUGUGCUGUGAGGCAUGCUGGAGGUAUCAGAAGUGCGAAUGCUGACAUAAGUAACGAUAAAGCGGGUGAAAAGCCCGCUCGCCGGAAGACCAAGGGUUCCUGUCCAACGUUAAUCGGGGCAGGGUGAGUCGACCCCUAAGGCGAGGCCGAAAGGCGUAGUCGAUGGGAAACAGGUUAAUAUUCCUGUACUUGGUGUUACUGCGAAGGGGGGACGGAGAAGGCUAUGUCAGCCGGGCGACGGUUGUCCCGGUUUAAGCAUGUAGGCGGAGGUUCCAGGUAAAUCCGGUACCUUAUUAACGCUGAGGUGUGAUGACGAGGCACUACGGUGCUGAAGUGAUAAAUGCCCUGCUUCCAGGAAAAGCCUCUAAGCAUCAGGUAACACGAAAUCGUACCCCAAACCGACACAGGUGGUCAGGUAGAGAAUACCAAGGCGCUUGAGAGAACUCGGGUGAAGGAACUAGGCAAAAUGGUGCCGUAACUUCGGGAGAAGGCACGCUGAUAUGUAGGUGAAGCCCCUGCGGGCGGAGCUGAAAUCAGUCGAAGAUACCAGCUGGCUGCAACUGUUUAUUAAAAACACAGCACUGUGCAAACACGAAAGUGGACGUAUACGGUGUGACGCCUGCCCGGUGCCGGAAGGUUAAUUGAUGGGGUUAGCGGCAACGCGAAGCUCUUGAUCGAAGCCCCGGUAAACGGCGGCCGU